Molecule: ribosomal RNA, 256 nt
Filed under: uncultured bacterium
Lineage: Bacteria
Description: partial 16S ribosomal RNA
Rfam family: Bacterial small subunit ribosomal RNA
Source: RNAcentral
UACGUAGGGGGGCAAGCGUUGCUCGGAAUCACUGGGCGUAAAGGGUGCGUAGGCGGGUCUUUAAGUCAGGGGGUGAAAUCCUGGAGCUCAACUCCAGAACUGCCUUUGAUACUGAAGAUCUUGAGUUCGGGAGAGGUGAGUGGAACUGCGAGUGUAGAGGUGAAAUUCGUAGAUAUUCGCAAGAACACCAGUGGCGAAGGCGGCUCACUGGCCCGAUACUGACGCUGAGGCACGAAAGCGUGGGGGAGCAAACAGG